Strigops habroptila (Kakapo) is the source of this 3077-nucleotide long non-coding RNA. RefSeq lists it as uncharacterized. The record is from RefSeq and is a predicted model, not a curated record. The transcript has 6 exons. NCBI's taxonomy places the organism in Eukaryota, Metazoa, Chordata, Aves, Psittaciformes, Psittacidae.
GGGAACCCGGCCGCCCCGGGCCGCGCACGCCGCCGGCUCCUCCGUUGCUACCGCUACUGCUUGGCCGCCUCCACUCAAUAGGCCCUCCUCCCGGGGAAGGCCGGAGACUGCCUGAGCAACGGGGAGAUUCAACGUGUUACAAACAAACAUAUUCCACCUGUUACAACAAUCUGGCAUAUUACUUUCUUGAUACGUGAUGAUACAAUACCUCUCAGGUUUGCCGAGUAGCAAAGAGAAAUCUGGUUCCACAACUAUCGGGUGACAGUCUCAGAGGAUGGAUUUUGGUUCUUCCAGAGAACUGCAGGACAACUACAAAAGGGGAAGUCUGAGUAACACGCUUCAGCAAUGAAUGGGAAAUCAAAACAUUAAAGAGUGCAAAUGAGAAGACCAUCCUAUUUUGCAGGAAGUUUGAGAUACUACAUUCGUCCAGGUCAUCCAUUUUUAUCCUUUUAAAAGGGAAUCUUCCUCCAUGACUAGUGUUUGGACCUAUUUUGAUAUGCUUUUUGAAAAAGGAUUGUCUUUAUUUAGAUGGAAGUGAAGGUAACUCUCGACUCAGCUGAAGUAAGCUUUUCAAGGAAGAGAACCUCAAUGCCAUGAGUUCAGACCUGCUUCUUUUUAGAUAUUAGCUGAUGAUAUCCAAAAGGUCUUGUUCUCCUGCUGUACAUUGUGAACAACUUUCAAAGAAACACCUGGAAGUGCUAACAUUGUGUGGUUCAAGAACAAUGCUGGAAUAAAAGGGGGACAAGUUCAAUAUCCUGACAGUUCUGCAGUCCACCAAGUCUGUUAUUUCUGUUCUGUCUUUAUAAUGGCUAUAAAGUAUGAGCUGGGAGUAUGAUGUGAAUGCAUCCACUUUCAAUAAUUGAUAUGAUGAAUAAUCUCAACCUUCUGACACCUUCUGUAUCUCCUUACAUCUUAGGAAACUUCAUUCAUCAACCACAUUUGAAAUGUUUAAGUAAUCUCAGUGAUGUAUGGAGCACUGAAACUCCCUUGUUAGAAAUCCAUGCUACUAACAUUCUAUCAAAUUAAAAAGCCACUGAGCUCUUGUGCAUAAAAUUAUCAUCAAUUAUCUCUGAAGGUUCAUUGCUGUUUGGAAUGUUUAAUUGCUCACUCAGCUGAACUUCAGCAGCUCAAGAUUAUUAAUCAAUUUGUCAGAAGGUUUCUCAUAAUGUCGCCUUUUAUGCUGCAGUUAUAUGGGUGGAAAACCCAUGUGCAAGACAAUUUUAUGCAGCAAGUCAACAGUAGCCAUCCAUACCCUUCAUAAUAUUCCUUUCAUAUAUUUAAGAGUAUUUUUUGCUCUUGAUUUCUCACAGAAGACUGGGAACUUGUAAUUACCUCAACCUAAUUUAUUUGGAUGGAAAACUAGAUUCUCCAAAACAAUAUUUAUAAGUAAGAAUGGAGACAGAUAAUAAGAAUAGGACUUUUGAAGCAUUUAACCCUGGCCUAAUGUUGUUGUCAUCAAAGUGUUGUCAUCAAAGUAUUGUCAUCAAAGUAAAUAUUUCUACUAACUGCAGUAACAGUAAAGACCUUUUGAAAAUGCCAUACCUUAACUGUACGUGAACAGGUUUUUUUCUUAACAAAAAAAUGCAUCUUUGCUUUAAAUAGUCUUUCAUGAGAAAAUUUGACUUUUAGGACAUACUAAACCCAUGUAUUUAAUGUUAAUUGAAAUACUUUUCAUUAUUUGUUUUGAAAAUGUCUUUUUUAAACUUUAAGAGUUAUGAAUUCAUCCUUUCUAUACUGUUUUUUGUUUUACAAAUGCAACUGUGUAUGAGACCUUAUAAGUGGGCUGAUGAUAGUAUUUCUGUUUAUAAAUUUUUAAUUAAUUAAAUCUUUUAGGAGUUCUAUGGUGCAGCACUACAGAAAUAGGGGAUUCUGCUUUUCCUGCUCUAGAGAAUUGAAAAGAGUUUGGAAUGUUUUGGAGUAAUAUAUUUCAGGAUUCUUUAAGCCACUCCAGAUAUUUUCUCAAGAUGAAAAAGCUUCCAAAUAGAUAGACUGGAAACAUUAUGGACAUUAUCCUCUUUCUUUUACUACAUGAAUUUUCAUCAUAUUAUUUUCUAUGCAUGUAGGUAGAGGAUGAAUGCUACCAUAUAGUUUCACAUAUCUAUUUGAUAUUAGGCAUUUAUGCAGCAUAUCACACCAUGGUAUAUCUACCAAAAAUUGAAAAUGAAAGAAAGUAUCAGGUUUCUCCUUCGUCAAAGUUCUUUCAUAAAAUUAAAAUAUUAGAAUAAGAAAUACAUUUUUGUGUCUAAGAAAUGUUUCAGGUGUCAGAAAUAUGUUGAAAACUAGCAUAUUUUUUUUUCCAAGUCUCCUCACUGUAAUCAUUCAAAGUCUUUCUUAAAACAUAUUAUGUCCAUUAGCAGAUGGGAAACAAAACACCAGUACAAGUACAUAACAUCUCUAUACUUUCUGACAUCUGGGGAUAUCACAACAAAUGUGUAACAACUCCUUAGUACAGUUUCAUCACCAUUACCAAUCUCCAUUACCCAUCUCCAUUACACAGAAUUUCUAGCACCAAGAAAUAAAGAUUGUCAUUACCUUUGGCAUUGAGUCAAACCCAAAAUGAUAUGCAGAAGAUUGAGCAUGAAAUCUUUUGAAGAAAUAGGAAGAGAAGCCAGAUCCUCAGAUUCCCAAUAACAUGUCUUAACACAUGAACCCUUCCUUCAUCACCCUGCUCAGCAGUGAUGCCUUACAGAUGAACAACUGAGCUGUGAUUAGAUAGAUCACAGACUCUUCAGUAUUAGUAUCUUUUUUUGUUCUUUGCACUAUACAAGUCUGCCAUAGCAUAUAUUAGCACUAGGAAAAUAUAGCAUUGAGAAAUAUGGAGAUGAAAAUGUUUAAAGUGCACUAUGUAUGUGGCAAAUCACAACAAUUCCUAGAAAUGUUCAGUUCUGUAAGGUAAGAAUAUAUACACUUUGUGUAUGUGUUGUUCUUCCUUCAUGCAGCAUACCUUUAUCCAUUCACUGAUUACUUCAAAUCGAUGUGGAUGUGAAUGUACUGUUAUGGAUGAUCCCAAACCUGCACAUAUUUGGGCCUAGUUAACUCAUGACCUUAGUGAAAAUAAACUCAUCAGUAAGUAUCAA